UGGGGAAUAUUGGGCAAUGGGCGCAAGCCUGACCCAGCAACGCCGCGUGAGGGAAGAAGGUCUUCGGAUUGUAAACCUCUGUCCUUGGGGACGAAAAAAAUGACGGUACCCAAGGAGGAAGCUCCGGCUAACUACGUGCCAGCAGCCGCGGUAAUACGUAGGGAGCGAGCGUUGUCCGGAAUUACUGGGCGUAAAGGGUGCGUAGGCGGCAUGGCAAGUCAGAUGUGAAAUCCCCGGGCUUAACUCGGGGGGUGCAUUUGAAACUGCUGUGCUUGAGUGCAGGAGAGGAAAGCGGAAUUCCUAGUGUAGCGGUGAAAUUCGUAGAUAUUAGGAAGAACACCAGUGGCGAAGGCGGCUUUCUGGACUGUAACUGACGCUGAGGCACGAAAGCGUGGGGAGCAAACAG
RNAcentral lists this ribosomal RNA (406 nucleotides) under uncultured bacterium. Its description in RNAcentral is "bacterial SSU rRNA". It matches the Rfam family "Bacterial small subunit ribosomal RNA", at positions 355 to 775 of the family's 1533-position model. The record is from RNAcentral.